This 148-nucleotide non-coding RNA is filed under the name Homo sapiens (human). The record is from Rfam by way of RNAcentral. Lineage: Eukaryota; Metazoa; Chordata; Mammalia; Primates; Hominidae.
GCCAGGCAUGGUGGCGCAUGCCUGUAAUCCCAGCUACUCAGGAGGCUGAGACAGGAGAAUCGCUUGAACUUGGGAAGCGGAGGUUACAGUGAGCCCAGAUUGUACCAUUGCACUCCAGCCUGUGUGACAGAGCGAGAUUCUGUCUCAA